Molecule: ribosomal RNA, 147 nt
Filed under: uncultured bacterium
Lineage: Bacteria
Description: partial 16S ribosomal RNA
Rfam family: Bacterial small subunit ribosomal RNA
Source: RNAcentral
AGGCAGCAGUGGGGAAUAUUGCACAAUGGGGGAAACCCUGAUGCAGCGACGCCGCGUGAGUGAAGAAGUUAUUUCGGUAUGUAAAGCUCUAUCAGCAGGGAAGAAAAUGACGGUACCUGAUUAAGAAGCCCCGGCUAACUACGUGCC